CGUUGUCGUCACUACCGCAUUGCAUUGUGGGAUAUUUAUGUCGCUGUAGUGUCCAGCGUUGCAUACUGUAAUAUUUCAAUGGAAAUAGUAUGCAAUUCACGUACUAUUGGUUUCAUACUGAGGUUUUGGACAUAUUAAAAAAUCUCACACACUGUUUUAGCAUGUUAUUAUGGAA
Molecule: long non-coding RNA, 175 nt
Organism: Sebastes umbrosus (honeycomb rockfish)
Lineage: Eukaryota; Metazoa; Chordata; Actinopteri; Perciformes; Sebastidae
Exons: 3
Source: RefSeq, a predicted model, not a curated record